Long non-coding RNA from Gossypium arboreum, 720 nucleotides. RefSeq lists it as uncharacterized. The record is from RefSeq and is a predicted model, not a curated record. The transcript is spliced from 2 exons. NCBI's taxonomy places the organism in Eukaryota, Viridiplantae, Streptophyta, Magnoliopsida, Malvales, Malvaceae.
ACUAACUUUUACUUUCUUCAGUUUGUUGGUUUCUAUCAUAUUUAGCUAAACCUAAUUUUACCGUUUCUCUCAUCACCUGCUUUGCCUUUGCUUUCUCUCAUCGCUGAUUGCUCACUCAAUGUUCCUUUCAUAUUUAGCUAAACCUAAUUUUAAUGGAGCUUGUGGCGUUUCAGUGAUCAUCCACAUCAUAUAUAUUUCAAAUCUGUUUUAACAAUUUCAUGGCGACAAGAAAGAUGAAGUUGCCGCAAUUGGUGGCACAAAAACCAGAAAUGGAGAAGGCUUCGAAAGCAGAGUUUAAAGAAAACGGCGAAUGCUUGAGAGAGGAGCAAGUGCAAAAUUUGAAGAGAUCGAAAGAGGAUGCAAUCAACUGAAACAAGAAACCUAAACGCUGACGAAACAAUCAGCCAUGACUCAAAUCAGGCUCGCUCUCAUCUUCAAUAUCUCCAAAGCCCCACAAGGUGGAUAUCUCGUUGAAGCCUUGAAGUUGUUGCCGAAAAUGAAAACACAGAGAAGGAAAACAGGCGGACAGCAGCAACCCAGAAAACAUGUAGGCAGGUCUCAUGUUUGUAGAUAGUAACAUAAAUAGUACUUGAAAAACAUGUAUUAUCUUUUCGGUUUUGUGUAUUCAAAUCGAAUUUUCAAUCACUUGUAAAACAUGUAAUGCCCAUUGAUUUGAAAUAAUAUACAACAUAUUAAUAGUAGGAUUGUUUCUGUUAAAAA